Fukomys damarensis (Damara mole-rat) is the source of this 480-nucleotide long non-coding RNA. RefSeq lists it as uncharacterized. NCBI's taxonomy places the organism in Eukaryota, Metazoa, Chordata, Mammalia, Rodentia, Bathyergidae. The record is from RefSeq and is a predicted model, not a curated record. The transcript has 3 exons.
CGCUGCACCUUGACACCCUCCUUACACCGCCCCCUGCUGGUGAACAGCGGUCUCCAGCCAGUCUGCUCAAAGAGUAGAAGGUGUGAGGUGGGGCCUGGUGACUCAAUGCAGCCGAUCCUGGGAGCUAGGACAGCACCAAGUUUCACCUCAUCCAGGAAGACAGGCAUCAGCUCCUGGUGCACCCCGAUUCACAACAGCUGCUCCAGAGGGACUUGCAUCGCCCACUCAAAGGGAAGGGGAGGCUUUUGGGAUCCAGGCCAGCGGCUCAGGGCCCUGGUGACCCACGUUGGCUGCGUGAUCUUGGGCGAGCUUCUCAGCCCGUUUCGGCUUUCAAUCCCCAUGUCUGACAAGUGCAGAUAAUGACAUCUACCUUGGCUGGGAUAAUUGCUGUCAUUUAUUGAAUCAAUAAAGGAAAAGUGCCUACCACCCAGGACAUGUUAUCACCAAGGUGAACUCUGAAGCUCCCAGCUACCACUUCCC